GCAUCGGUGGCUCAGUGGUAGAAUGCUCGCCUGCCACGCGGGCGGCCCCGGCUUCGAUUCCCGGCCGAUGCA
Molecule: transfer RNA, 72 nt
Filed under: Cordylochernes scorpioides
Lineage: Eukaryota; Metazoa; Arthropoda; Arachnida; Pseudoscorpiones; Chernetidae
Description: tRNA-Gly
Rfam family: tRNA
About the family: Transfer RNA (tRNA) molecules are approximately 80 nucleotides in length. Their secondary structure includes four short double-helical elements and three loops (D, anti-codon, and T loops).
Source: RNAcentral